CAGCCGCCGCGGUAAAACGGAGGGAGCUAGCGUUAUUCGGAAUUACUGGGCGUAAAGCGCACGUAGGCGGCUUUGUAAGUUAGAGGUGAAAGCCUGGAGCUCAACUCCAGAAUUGCCUUUAAGACUGCAUCGCUUGAAUCGCGGAGAGGUGAGUGGAAUUCCGCGUGUAGAGGUGAAAUUCGUAGAUAUUCGGAAGAACACCAGUGGCGAAGGCGGCUUACUGGCUCAUUCUAGACGCUGAGGUGCGAAAGCGUGGGGAGCAAACAGGAUUAGAUACCCGAGUAGUCCCUGUCUCUUAUAC
This 301-nucleotide ribosomal RNA is filed under the name uncultured bacterium. RNAcentral's name for it is "partial 16S ribosomal RNA". It matches the Rfam family "Bacterial small subunit ribosomal RNA", at positions 509 to 807 of the family's 1533-position model. The record is from RNAcentral.